AAUGAACGCUGGCGGCAUGCCUAAUACAUGCAAGUCGAACGAGACCCUCGGGUCUUUUGGCGCACGGGUGCGUAACGCGUGGGAACCUGCCCUUAGGUUUGGAAUAACUCCCCGAAUGGGGUGCUAAUACCGGAUAAUGUCUUCGGACCAAAGAUCUAUCGCCUUUGGAUGGGCCCGCGUUGGAUUAGCUAGUUGGUAGGGUAAAAGCCUACGAAGGGGACAAUCCAUAGCUGGUCUGUGAGGAUGUUCAGCCACACUGGGACUGGGACACGGCCCAGACUCUUACGGGACGCAGCAGUGUGGAAUAUUGGAACGUGGGCGGAGUCCUGAUCCAGCUAUGCCGCGUGAGUGAUGAUGGCCUUAGGGUUGUAAAGCGCAUUUACCCGGGAUGAUAAUGACGGUACCUGGUCAAUAAGCGCCGGCUAACUCCGUG
This 433-nucleotide ribosomal RNA is filed under the name uncultured bacterium. RNAcentral's name for it is "partial 16S ribosomal RNA". It matches the Rfam family "Bacterial small subunit ribosomal RNA", at positions 29 to 507 of the family's 1533-position model. The record is from RNAcentral.